UGCGUAGGUGGCAAGCGUUGUCCGGAUUUACUGGGUGUAAAGGGUGUGCAGCCGGGCUGACAAGUCAGAUGUGAAAUCCCGCGGCUCAACCGCGGAACUGCAUUUGAAACUGUCAGUCUUGAGUACCGGAGAGGUCAUCGGAAUUCCUUGUGUAGCGGUGAAAUGCGUAGAUAUAAGGAAGAACACCAGUGGCGAAGGCGGAUGACUGGACGGCAACUGACGGUGAGGCGCGAAAGCGUGGGGAGCAAACAGG
This 253-nucleotide ribosomal RNA is filed under the name uncultured bacterium. RNAcentral's name for it is "partial 16S ribosomal RNA". It matches the Rfam family "Bacterial small subunit ribosomal RNA", at positions 524 to 776 of the family's 1533-position model. The record is from RNAcentral.